RNAcentral lists this long non-coding RNA (2190 nucleotides) under Brassica napus (rape). RNAcentral describes it as "long non-coding RNA (BNAP_LNC008608)". The record is from RNAcentral. Lineage: Eukaryota; Viridiplantae; Streptophyta; Magnoliopsida; Brassicales; Brassicaceae.
UACAAGAUCGCUGCCAUACCUUCCGUUCUCGUCGCCGGAGUUAUCGGCGUUCUCUUUCCGUUGCUAGGAAACUUCUUUCCGUCGUUAAGACCGGAGACGAACUUCUUCUUCGUGACAAAAGCCUUCGCCGCAGGAGUAAUUUUGGCCACGGGGUUUAUGCACGUGCUGCCUGAAGGCUACGAGAAGCUUACGUCACCUUGUCUGAAAGGAGAAGCUUGGGAGUUUCCGUUCACUGGGUUCAUUGCGAUGGUCGCAGCGAUUUUAACCCUCUCCGUUGACUCUUUUGCCACGUCAUAUUUUCAUAGAUUGCAUAAUAAGACGUCUAAGAAGAUCGGUGACGGUGAAGAGCAAAUCGGUGGCGGUGGUGGUGGAGACGUGCUCGGGUUGCACGUGCAUGCUCAUGGUCACGCGCACGGAAUUGUCGGUGUAGAUUCUGGUGAAUCCGAGGUUCAGCUUCACCGUACUCGAGUUGUGGCCCAGGUAAAUUAAAUAGUUUAAUCAUAUUUUGGUUUUUUAUUUUCGUUAUUGAUGGACGAGGGUUCGAGUUUGGAUUUUUAUAAAACAUGAUUGAUUAUCUUCGUUUAUCUUUUAGUAUAUACAUGAAGAUGAAAAUAUUAAUAAUCCUGUAGCAGAAAAAAAGAAGAUGAAAAUAUUAAUAUAUAAUCUUAAUAUGUAAUCUUUAUGUUAUAUAGUAUGGGUUUUAAAUUUUAAUGCAUAGUUUUUUUUGGGUCCUGGCAUUAAAUGAUUCUCGGAGAAAUUUGACUGCUAGGAUAAAGCCAAAGAGAAAUCAACUCUUACUCUUAAUAUAGGAGAUUGAUUCCAGAAAAUAACUUUUAAUACAGUUUGUACCUUUAAUCUAUUCUAUAUUAGAAUAAAAGUGAAGCCAACCUAAAUGUCGGGAAAGCCUGAAAUUUGAUAAAAGAUAAUAAUAUGGAAUCUUUUCGUGUGUAUGAAACUUAGCAUAAAACAAUGAUAUACAAGGGUCCAUAUGAAGCCACAUGCGUUUGCUUCCCUUUUCCAACUCUUUACGUAAUUCUCGGAUGGAGAUUCCAUAGAUUCCUAGCUUUUUUUUUAUGUCUCAUGUAGCUGGGUUUGUUUUUAGGUAAAAGUGAAGCUAAUUACUAUUAUUAUCUACAAAAAAAAUACAAUAGGUGUUGGAGGUGGGAAUAAUCGUACACUCAGUGGUAAUAGGAAUAUCACUGGGAGCAUCACAAAGUCCAGACACUGCCAAAGCUCUCUUUGCUGCUUUAAUGUUUCAUCAAUGCUUCGAAGGUCUUGGCCUUGGUGGUUGCAUCGCUCAGGUACCUAUACUCUUCCUUCGUUUUUUCUUCUCCAUAAUUUGUUUUCUUUCUAGUUAAAACAUGCAUUAAGAUCAGUAUACCGUAAAGUGUAUAAUAUUCUUUACGGGUUAAUUAAGCUCUACAGUAAAGUGUAUAAUAUUAGAAAAGGUAUAAUCAGGGCCGGCUGAGGAGGGGGACAAGCAGUGCCGACCGCUCCGGAUCUAAACCGUGUCUCCCGUAUAUUAAUAGUCAAGGGAUUUAAUUUUAUAAAAAAAAUUAUAUUUUUAUAUAAAAUAUUAUAAAUAAAAUUGAAAAGAGUCCAAAAAUAUUUGAUAUACAUGUAGAUUUCCGUCGUUAAGACCGGAGACGAACUUCUUCUUCGUGACAAAAGCCUUCGCCGCAGGAGUAAUUUUGGCCACGGGGUUUAUGCACGUGCUGCCUGAAGGCUACGAGAAGCUUACGUCACCUUGUCUGAAAGGAGAAGCUUGGGAGUUUCCGUUCACUGGGUUCAUUGCGAUGGUCGCAGCGAUUUUAACCCUCUCCGUUGACUCUUUUGCCACGUCAUAUUUUCAUAGAUUGCAUAAUAAGACGUCUAAGAAGAUCGGUGACGGUGAAGAGCAAAUCGGUGGCGGUGGUGGUGGAGACGUGCUCGGGUUGCACGUGCAUGCUCAUGGUCACGCGCACGGAAUUGUCGGUGUAGAUUCUGGUGAAUCCGAGGUUCAGCUUCACCGUACUCGAGUUGUGGCCCAGGUAAAUUAAAUAGUUUAAUCAUAUUUUGGUUUUUUAUUUUCGUUAUUGAUGGACGAGGGUUCGAGUUUGGAUUUUUAUAAAACAUGAUUGAUUAUCUUCGUUUAUCUUUUAGUAUAUACAUGAAGAUGAAAAUAUUAAUAAUCCUGUAGCAGAAAAAAAG